Molecule: ribosomal RNA, 249 nt
Filed under: Cyclophora tenuis
Lineage: Eukaryota; Bacillariophyta; Fragilariophyceae; Cyclophorales; Cyclophoraceae
Description: partial Bacterial small subunit ribosomal RNA
Rfam family: Bacterial small subunit ribosomal RNA
Source: RNAcentral
GAAGAAGCCCCGGCUAACUUCGUGCCAGCAGCCGCGGUAAUACGAAAGGGGCUAGCGUUGUUCGGAAUUACUGGGCGUAAAGCGCACGUAGGCGGCCUUGUAAGUUGGGGGUGAAAUCCCGGAGCUCAACUCCGGAACUGCCUUCAAAACUACAAAGCUAGAGGAUGUGAGAGGAUAGUGGAAUUCCGAGUGUAGAGGUGAAAUUCGUAGAUAUUCGGAGGAACACCAGAGGCGAAGGCGGCUCACUGG